This 7609-nucleotide long non-coding RNA is filed under the name Capsicum annuum. RNAcentral describes it as "long non-coding RNA (CANN_LNC020642)". The record is from RNAcentral. Lineage: Eukaryota; Viridiplantae; Streptophyta; Magnoliopsida; Solanales; Solanaceae.
UCAAUUUUCUACAUAUAGUGGAAGUCAAUGUCUCAACCUACGGUGGCACGUAGUUCUGGGGUAUGAAACCGUAGUAACAUACCCAACUCGGUGCUAAAUAAUACUCCCAAUACUAUACUCAAAAAUCUCAAGAAAAAUCCUCUUUAAGGCUAAUCUCAUAUUUCUUAAGUUAAAUAAAUGAUAAAAUCCGUAAAUCGUUUCAUGAAGUGGACUUUAACUCUGUUGUGACCAAAAGGUCAAAUCUUUCUAUACUUCAUCAAAAAUAGUCCAAACAUGGGUGCAUGCAGCACAUAACUUCUCAAAACAACAAUCUCAAUGUGAGUUAAUGACCCUUAUAGCGAUACUUAAUCAAAACAUUUCAACAUUUAUGCUUUAUAUCACAAGCAUGCAUAGUUUAUAUGGAAAUCUGAAAAAUUUCAGCCUUUAAUCAUAACAAUAAUCUCAAAAUCAUGGAGUUUAUUUUCUAAACAUUCAAAAUAAUUAUAGUAUCUUGAACAAUAACAUAGGAUAAGAUUUCUCACUUCAAAUUCAUGAUAGAACAUGCAAAAAGCAUGUAUCUUUGUAAAAUAAUGCAAACUUUGGGCACAAGAACGAAAGGGUGUUCUUGUUCAUAACCCCACAUACCUUUAUGGUAACAGAUUCGUUGAAAGAUUGGACCCUCAAUGUUCAUUGUGUAACCCUAGUUGUUUUUCUCCUUUAGUACUCUUGGAUGAUGAACUUAGACUGAUAAUAGGGUUAUGAUGUGUUUAGAAUUUAUUAAAUUUGUAAAGUUAAGUUUACGGGUGUAUAAGGAGUUCCAAAAGACUUAAUUGCCCUCAAAAUAACCCAAAAAUGGUGUGUUUAAGUCACUUGAAACCAUAAGAUAUGCAGCACAUAUGAUAUCGCCUAUAUUUACAUAGGCACCGCAUAUGAUAUCGCCUAUAUUUACAUAGGCGCCACAUAUGAUAUCACCUAUAUUUACAUAGGCGCCGCAUAUGCUAUCACAUAUGCUUUCUAGUGGCCAUGUCCGAUUGGUUAGGCGAUGCACUCUACUUCGCAAAGCCAUAACUCCUAGCUCGGGUGUCGGAUUUUGGUAAAAUUGAUAUCGUUGGAAACCUAAUUGGAUUAUCUAUAAUUUUGUGGGUAGAAAUAUGCAGAAAUACCACAUAUUUAUCAAGCUAUGCUCAUUCAAAGAUGACCCUUAUGAAUUCAAACACUAAAACUUGAUGGAUUUCGAAACUCUUAGAUUGUAUUACCUUAAGUGACUCAUAUAACCACACUUAACACAUCAUAAGCUCUAUUAUAACUAGGGUACUCUUGAUAAUUUAGGUGCCCAAAUAUGGCUUACAAAAUUGGGGUUUUCACAUAUACGAACAACGGUUCGUUUUCUAGCUUAGGAAAGUGCGGGGCAUUACAAUAUCUCCCCCUUGGGGACAUUCGUCCUCGAAUGACACUGGGUAUACUAAGAUUAAAGAGAAAAUGAAGGGUACACAACUGAAGCAACUUGAUAAUCUUGCCUCUAUUUCAUUCUACAUUUUGGACACAACAAGGGGUGCAUCACUCAUGAAAUCACAUCUGAAUAGUAUAAAAUAACUGUUGAACUACUGCAAUUAUGCAUAGAAAAGGAAUGGUUUAAAGUAUAAUGGUACCUUCAGCUUGAUCGGAGCUUAUUAAAAAUAGGUGCGGGUACUUGGAUCGAAUAUCUGCCUCAGCUUCCCAUGUUGCACCCUCAACAGAUUGGUUUUGCCACAACACCUUGACCAAGGAAACUUCUUUGUUCGUUAGUCUUCGGACUUGGUGAUCUAAAAUCUCAAUAGGAACUUUCUCAAAAGAAAUACUAUCUUUCACAUCAGGGUUUUCUAAAGGAUAUACAACAACACAAUCACCAACGUAUUUCCUAAGUAUAUAUACAUGGAAGAUAGAGUGAAUGGAAGAUAACUCUGAAGGCAACUCAGCCUCAUACGCUACCUUACCAACACGGCUAAGAACUCUGUAGGGGCCAACAUAACAGGGACUAAGUUUCCCCUUCUUUCCAAAUCUCUUCACUCCCUUCAUGGGUGAAAUCUUCAAAUACACCAAGUCACCAACUUCAAAUUCAAGUUCUCUUCUCCUGACAUCAGUAUACGACUUCUGACGACUCUGUGCAGUUUUUAAUCUUUCUCUAAUCACUUUGACUUUUUCCAUAGCUUUAAAGACCAAAUUAGGACCACUCACGGCCACUUCAUCUACUUCAAACUAACCUAUGGGUGACCUACAUUUCCUCUCAUACAAAGCCUCAAAUGGAUCCAUGCCAAUGCUAGAGUGAAAAUUGUUAUUGUAAGCAAACUCUAUCAAUGGUAAAUGCUCAUCCCAACUCCCCUUAAUGUCAAGAGCACACGCUCUCAACAUAUCCUCUAAGGUUUGGAUGGUCCUCUCAGCCUGACCAUCUAUCUACGGAUGGAAAGCUCUUGGGUACCAAGACCCUUCUGAAAAGCUCUCUAAAACUGCAAAGUGAACUGAGUACCCCUAUCUGAAAUGAUGGACAAGGGAACUACAUGAAAUUUGACUAAUUCCUGGAUGUACAAUCUAGCGUGAUCCUCAGCAGUAUAAGAAGUAUGCACAGUCAAGAAGUGUGCAGACUUAGUCAAUCUAUCCAUAACAACCUAAAUGGAAUCAUGAUGGCAUUGGGAAGGAGGUAAACCAGUCACAAAAUCCAUGUUUAUCUCUUCCCACUUCCAAGUGGGAAUACCAAACUUCUGCAUCAUACCACCAGGUCAUUGGUUUUCUACCUUAACCUGUUGGUACAUCAUAUAAUUAGCCACAAAUACUGCUAUAUCCUUCUUCAUGCCACUCCACCAAUAGAUUUGCCGCAAUUUGCGGUACAUCUUGGUGGCACCAGGAUGAAUAAAAUAUCGCGCACCAUGCGCUUAAGCCAUAAUUCUCUGUCUCAGAUCCUCGACAUCCGGAACACAUAAUCUAUCCUGCAAUCUCAACACUCCAUCCCCUCCUUGGGAGAAAACCUCCACCUUUUGGUCCUUGACUAAUUCUUUUAGUUUGACCAAACUAGCAUCUAAGUUUUGCUUCUCCUUUACUUCCAAAACCAAGGAGGAUUCGGAGCUACUCUAUACUAACAUACUUCCUUCAACGGAGUCAAACAACCUAACUCCCAACCUAGCCAACCGAUCCACAUCACGAUCCAACUCCUUCUUACCCUCUCCAAUAUGCGUAACACUACCCAUAGAUAUCCUAUUAAGGGCAUCCACCACUACAUUGGCCUUUCCCGAGUGAUACAACACACUCAUAUCAUAGUCUUUCAAUAACUUUAACCACCUUCUCUGCCUAAGAUUCAACUCUCUCUGGGUAAAAACAUACUGCAGACUCUUAUAAUCAGUAAAAACAUCAACAUGAACACUAUACAAUUAGUGUCUCCAGAUUUUCAGAGCAAACAGAACAACAGCUAACUCAAGAUCAUGGGUGGGGUAAUUCUUCUAAUGGGGUUUCAGCUGUCUAGAGGCAUAGGGUAUAACCUUACCUCUCUGCAUCAGUACACAACCCAAACCAACUCUAGAAGCAUCACAAUAUACCACAAAACCAUCAAUGCCAUCAGGCAGAGUCAAAAUAGGGGUUGUAGUGAGUCGAGUCUUCAACUCCCGAAAACUAUUCUUAAAAAAAUUGGACCACAAGAACUUCACUUUCUUUUGGGUUAAUCGGGUCAUAGGAGAUGCUAUAGAGGAGAAACCUUCAACAAAAUGGUGGUAAUAGCCAGCUAGACCCAAGAAACUUCUAAUGUCAGACGGAGAGACAGGUUUAAGCCAGUUUCUAACAGCUUCUGUUUUCUGGGGAUCAACUUUAAUACCUUCAGAAGAAAUAAUAUGACCAAGAAAAGCAACUGACCUUAGCCAAAAUUCACACUUACUAAACUUGGCACACAAAUGAUGAUCUCUAAGGGUUUGUAAGACGAUAUAGAGAUAAUCUGCAUGUUCAUUCUCACUACGAAAGUAUACUAGAAUGUCUUCUAUAAACACUAUGACAAAGAUAUCAAGAUAUGGCCUGAACACUCAAUUCAUGAGGUCCAUGAAAGCUGCUAGGAUAUUAGUUAUCCCGAAGGACAUAACAAGAAACUAAAAAUGACCAUAACGUGUUUGGAAGGCUAUCUUCGAGAUAUCACAUUCCCUAACUCUGAGUUGAUGAUAGCCAGAGCGAAGGUCUACCUUUGAGAAGUAACUUGAACCUUGCAAUUGAUCAAACAAAUCAUCUAUUCUUGGAAGGGGAUACUUGUUUUUGAUAGUGACUUUGUUAAGCUGGCGAUAGUCAAUGCACAUGCCUAAAGAGCCAUCUUUCUUUCACAUAAAUAGGACAGGUGCACCCCAAGGAGACACACUUGGUCUUAUAAACCUUUAUCUAAGAGAUCUUUGAGUUGCUCUUUCAACUCCUUAAGUUUUGCAGGUGCCAUACGAUAUGGAGGAAUAGAAAUGGGUUAAGUAUCAGGAAAAAGAUCAAUCUUGAAUUCUAUCUCUCUAUCGGGAGGUACCCCUAGAAGAUCUUCCAGAAAAACAUUGGGAAACUCAUUAACAACGUCAACUGACUGGAGAGUUAGAGUCUCAGACUUAGUGUCUUUAACUCUGACUAGGUGAUAAAUGCACUCUUUGGAAAUAAGCUUUCUAGCCUUGAGAUAUAAGAUAAAAUGACUUUUGGGAGAUGUGGAAAUACUAGACCAUUUGAUAACAGACUUAACAGGGAACUGAAAUUUGACUACACGGGUACGACAGUCUAUGGAUGCAUAACAAGAGUGAAGCCAGUCCAUACCCAGAAUAACAUCAAAAUCUACCAUGUCUAACUCUAUCAGAUCAGCAAACAUAACUCUAUGAAGAACAGAAAUAGGACACUUUUUGUACACUUUUUGGGCAACAAUGGAUUAACUCACAGGGGUAGAAACUAGGAGAGGUGUACCAUAUGAAAAAUUGGACCCAGGGUCCAACAACGCAUAAACAUCAAACUGAAAUAUACAAAGCAUGCCAGUAACAACAUCGGGGGAGUCCUACUACUCCUGAUGGGAAGGCAAAAAAUAGAAUCUAUUCUGGCGCUGACCGCCAGCAGUGCUAGAAAAAGCACCAUGAGUAGGAGCUAGUCGAGCUACAGUAGCUGGAGCACUAGAAGUUUGAGCCUGGGGAAGAACAUCACGGUUCCCCUGUCUGGUAUGAGGAUAAUCUCUAAAACCAUGGCCCUCUUGGCCAUAUCCAUAGCAGCCCUUCUGACCCCAUAAACACUUACCCCCGUGAUCCCUACUACACCUGGGUCAUAGUGGACGGUUAGGCCGAUUACUCAUAAUAUUCUGAGAUACGGACAUAGAAGACCUGUUUCCCUAUUCUUGCCUACCUCUAAGAGCUGGAGCACUAGCUGAAAAUGGUGCUGACAUAGAUGAGCAGCUCUGAAACUGAGGGCGAUUCCCUCCUUGUAAUCUGUUCUGACCAUAAGUAGGUUGCUCGAAUCUGGCUCUCUUAUUCCCCCUCACUCUAUCUCUCUCUAUUAUCUUAUCUGAUUUGAUCUGUUGGGCAUGGGUCAUCAGUCUAGAAAGAUUCAUCUCACUAUCAAGCAUAGCUGAUCUACACUCCUUAACCACAUAGCUUGACACCCUUGUUAAGAACCUACCCAUACUGGCUCAGUUGUCGGCUAUCAGAUUUGGGGCAUAUUUUGCUAACUGAUUGAACUUCAAGCAAUAAUCCAUAACAGUCAAGGAGCCUUGCCAUAAUUUCAUGAACUCCUCUACUUUCACCUAUCUCAACUCUAGCGGAAAGAAUUUAUCCAAGAAUGCAUCCUGGAACUCCUACUAAGUCAUAGGACAACACCCUCUACUCUACUCUUUCUCCAUGCAACCACCCAGUGAUAUGCAAGGUGUUUAAAUCUGUAGGAAGCUAACUCAACACUCUCCUCCUUAGACACGUGCAUUACCUAUGUGAUCUUCCUUAUCUCCUCCGGAUACAACUGCGGAUCUUCACCUACCUUGGACCCAUAAAACUCUGGUGGAUUCAUCCAUAUAAAGUCACGGAUUCUUGCGACAGCUAAGUCACCUCCCUAUUGUUGUGGAGCUGGGGCCUGGUUGGCCUGAACAUUGGCGAUAACAGCUUGGGCAAGCGCCUGAAAGGCUGCCCCAAACUCAGCAUGGAAUACAUUCUUAUUUAGGGGAUCAGCAGGCUGAGGUUACUGACCCGCGUUAUUUCUUUUAGCUUGGCGAGGAAGUAUAUUCGGAAAGAAGAGAGCACGAAUUAAUAGCUAAAAGGGAACAACUGUAAGCACGAUAGACUUCUAAAAUAAUAAAAUGACCCUUUUUUUUCUAAAAUGUUUUGUAGCCUAUUGCUCAUAGAUAUGACAUGCUACACAUCGAUGAUCAAGACUCUACUUAACACGGCUUGUCAGACUCCCUAGGACUCAAAUAACCUUAGGCUCAGAUACCAAGUUUGUAACGCCUCAAAAACGAGCCCCAAGGCAUCACACGAUGCUUAAGGCUACAAGUAGCCCAAACCUAAAACGUUUAGCCAUUUUUCUACCAUUCAACACUUAUAAUCAAAGUCAUCAUAAUCAAAACAUCUAAGCAUCCACCAUAAUAUCAUACUGCAAUACAAAUGAAAUAUGGAAAGUAAAAAAAUAAGACAUCUCUAAAAAAUCUGAUUAAUCUAUCCAUCUAGUCUGACAAGACUCUACUAAACUGUAUAUCCAUGAGGCGUUGGGACAAACCCUAAAUGACCUAAACUCAAGAAAAUAAAUUGAACGACUCAAAGUAAAUAAGGAAAUAUGAAUAACUAGUCCUCGAGCCAUAAGGACUCACCACUGCAGAGGAUGUAGAUCAACGUGCUCGGAUAAUCACAGUCAAACCUAGGAAUGAGCACCUAAACCUACAUUAUAGGGAAAAUGUAGCCCACAUGCGAACAUGUGGGGUAGUACCAUGGAAUAUGUACCGAGUACAUGGGGGUGUAUGAACUAAACAUAUUUAUAUGCAUAUAUAUAUAUAUAUAUAUAUAUAUAAUGAUCAUCUCAUAAGUUUUCUUUCCAAAUCAUGCAAGACAUUUGUAAAUGGCUCAUAAACCUUGAAAGAAAUCUAAAAUCUGAAAUCAUACAUAAUGAAUGGUAAAACAUGCCAAUCUGGAUAUCAUGAACCAUUACCCUUAAUCCAAAUAUCAAGAUUCUUUUCUUAUUCUCUCAUCAAGCAAUCUUAGUGAAAUCUUGAAUAUUGAAUACAUCAUAAAUCUGCAUUUCAAAUCUCUUUUGAAUCAGUAAAAUCAAUCUAAGAAUGAGGGAUGACUCUUUGGGAGGUUCUUAUAAUAGACAUAUACACCAUAUGAGCACCCAUGAUGUCUCACGACUUGCCCCCGUAAGGUUAGGGUUGUCCUACCCUUGCCAUUGUUGUAGAACAAUCUCAUCUCAGUUAUCACUAUCUCAAUUUUCCACACAUAGUGGAAGUCAAUGUCUCAACCUACGGUGGCACAUAGUUCUAGGAAAUGAAACCAUAGUAACAUACCCAACUUGGUGCUAAAUACUACUCCCAAUACUAUGCUUAAAAAUCUCAAGAAAAAUCCACUUUAAGGGUAAUCUCAUAUUUCUUAAGUUAAAUAAAUGAUAAAAUCCAUAACUCGUUUCAUAAAGUAGAUUUUAACUC